GCCUCAGCCCUUCUCCAGCCCUAUGUAAGCCCUACAUUACCCAUUCUCUGCUGAGAUGGAGAGCAGAAAUGACAAAGUGCAGAAGGAGAGGUAGGAGCAGUGGGUGUCCCUGAGUCCCACAAGCCCUGUAGAGCUGUGCAUUGCCAAAUACUUGCCCUCUCUCUGCUGGAUUCUUGACUAACUUCUGCACAGGAGCGACUGAGGAGCUUCCAUACCAAGGUUCACACUCACAACGGAUUACUGCAUGGUUGCAGGUACUUGGGGACUUCAAGAAUUGUGUUGGUCUGCCUGUGUGGUACUUUGACUCCAUCCACC
Molecule: long non-coding RNA, 315 nt
Filed under: Phasianus colchicus (ring-necked pheasant)
Lineage: Eukaryota; Metazoa; Chordata; Aves; Galliformes; Phasianidae
Description: lncRNA (ENSPCLG00000005602.1)
Source: RNAcentral